CGGGUGAGUAAUGUCUGGGAAACUGCCUGAUGGAGGGGGAUAGCUACUGGAAACGGUAGCUAAUACCGCAUAACGUCGCAAGACCAAAGAGGGGACCUUCGGGCCUCUUGCCAUCGGAUGUGCCCAGAUGGGAUUAGCUAGUAGGUGGGGUAACGGCUCACCUAGGCGACGAUCCCUAGCUGGUCUGAGAGGAUGACCAGCCACACUGGAACUGAGACACGGUCCAG
RNAcentral lists this ribosomal RNA (227 nucleotides) under uncultured bacterium. RNAcentral describes it as "partial 16S ribosomal RNA". It matches the Rfam family "Bacterial small subunit ribosomal RNA", at positions 103 to 334 of the family's 1533-position model. The record is from RNAcentral.